GGCAAGUUACCCAAGUGGCCAAAGGGAUCUGACUGUAAAUCAGCCGUCUUAGACUUCGCAGGUUCGAAUCCUGCACUUGCCA
This 82-nucleotide transfer RNA is filed under the name Marisediminicola antarctica. Its description in RNAcentral is "Frigoribacterium sp. ZS314 tRNA". It matches the Rfam family "tRNA". From Rfam's summary of the family: Transfer RNA (tRNA) molecules are approximately 80 nucleotides in length. Lineage: Bacteria; Bacillati; Actinomycetota; Actinomycetes; Micrococcales; Microbacteriaceae. The record is from Rfam by way of RNAcentral. RNAcentral also lists the same sequence under 2 other names.